This is a long non-coding RNA of Syngnathus acus (greater pipefish), 2651 nucleotides long. RefSeq lists it as uncharacterized. Lineage: Eukaryota; Metazoa; Chordata; Actinopteri; Syngnathiformes; Syngnathidae. The record is from RefSeq and is a predicted model, not a curated record. The transcript has 5 exons.
UUAUUUCUUAAGAAUAUUUUACUUUUAAUGAAUGGUAAUUUUUUUAUUUUCCUACUAUUAUAUUAUGACUAAAUCCCACACUGGUUGGUCCGAGAUGAGAUACGAACCAUCACACUCAGAACGCUGCUGUCACUGGCCUCCACAUAGCCUUGGUUCUCUGCAGCAGAGCUCAUCAUGUUGCUGUCUAUCAACAUGAGGAGCAUCACAGGCUUUGUUUGACGUUUCCAUCUUUGAAUUGAGACCUUGACUGGCCAGUUGUGUCUCCUGACGUGUUUAACAGCUGCAUUGGAUAUGUCGAGAAAUUCCCAGACUGCUCUUCUGAGAGCAUACCAAAACACACUUAAGUUGGACAACAAAGGAAUCAAGCCACUGACCCCAUGCGGUGGGCCACCAUUGCUGCCGCCCACCCCAUCUCCACACCCCCAACCAGUGAGACACCAUGACCCCAUAAAUCCUGCCGGCGAGGCCACUUAGUCUCAUCUUCAUGUUAAUUUGCAUGAGUGUCCUAAUGUCUCCACAUUCCAGUUUCUAUUUUCUUUAGGUGCAAGGCUUUUCCUCUACCAAAUAUCAAAUAUGAAUAUCAGCGCUUUGAACUAGCCUUCCCUCAUCCCAUCUCAGCCUAUUAUAAAGCCCACAGAGACAGCUCCAGCAGAGAUGCGAUGAACAGAGUGAAGGAGAGUAGAGCCGCUUCGAAAGCAGCGACGGCAGACCACUCAGAAUCAACAAUUGCCUCAUAAGAGCACUACAUGGACCGACGUCUUGUUUUGAUGAACCCCGGAAUGCGGCGCCACAUCAUCAUUUCUCUGGCCUGCCUCAGGUGUCACAUCAGGCACUCGUGUGUGUUUUCUCUUGCGGCUUUGUCAAUAUUUCAGGCUCCUUCACAGUGACAAACUGUGACGUGCCAUAUGGUUUCUUGGCGGUGAUGGAGAUUUUGAAUCAAUGUGUGAAACUUUGGGCCACAAAAGUCUUUUUGUUGUGUCAGAUGAAGCGGAACCACUGUGAGUUGUUCAAUCUGUAGAAUUGACUUUUGUAGGAAACUGUGGGAAUAGAAAUAUAGCGAACCUAGAGAAGGCUAACUGUUAGCUUCUUUGGUAACUAUAGUUGUAAGUAAAGUAAAAUUCUCAAAUUUGUUCGUAUGCGUGUACUUAACGUUUCAAUUAAAUAGCCCUCGUGAUCCAUAAAGUUGCCUUUGGCAAUUUAGUUUUCUCGCUAGAAGCAUUAUAAUCCAAAUGAUCUUUUUACGACAUCAGACGACUGAAAUGAUGAGCCAUUCUUUUAUUUUCCCUCAUCUUGGUGAUGUCCAGUGGGCGGGUAGCCAGUUCAAUCUUUGUGCGCAGUCGGCCAAAACACAACCGAGUUGCGGGCACGCACUUUGGAAAGAGACAAGAAGAAUACAGCGACAACAGUGGGCGGCCUUGUCAGAAAGAUAAAAAAAAGUCUCGUGUUAAAUCCUCAAAAAAUAAUACGACUUGAGCAGUAUAUAUGACUGCACAGACUGAAAUGAGCUCUGGGAAAUUGUUAGACCGCAAUCAACAUCCACUAAAACGAAGAACCAAAAUAGCCACAGUCCAUCUCACGCUUCAGGUCAUGUGAAUAAUCCACAAGGGCUUUGCAGUGCAGGGGUCAUCGUUAGCUUUAAUGUCAUUUAACAAUGACUAGCUUCGAAUUGAUUUGCCUGACACUUGCAUCCUUUCAAAAAAAAAACCAUCUUUUCAAUCUGGCCAAAAGAAAUGCUCGCAUUACACAGCGGGAGAGCUCUUUUGAGUGCAUUUCCUUGCUGCCCAGCCUCGCCACAAUGCUGAAAUUGGAACGGCGUUUCCAUAGGGUAGAAAGCAAAGGCUGCAUCUGCUGUGUACAGACAGGUGCAAUCCUCCUCCUCCUCCUCCGAUCUUGAAUAGACACUUUAAUGACAACUUUGGCGAGCUUUCGCCCGUGGCUCUGUGGCUUGUCAGUGGUGACAGACAUUUUGGGAAAGGCUUCCUCUAAAGCGCCACGCUGCCAUUGUUAAGGUGACAGAGUUGUACACGGCCAAAUGUAUUCAAAUCUAAAAAUAACACUGCAUGAAAUGGGAUUUCACAGCUCCUUCUCUUCCAAUGUUUUUCUCUAAUACCUAUAGAGGAAAUUUUAAAUCAGGUGAUUUCUUUUUAAGGUAGGUGUGAAAGUCUGUCGCUGACGAUUUGGAUUUACGUCGAAAGAGAUCACAGUUAAAUACUAAGCAAAAGAGCCUCUAUGUGGCAUUUUGCCCUCCAACAAAUGUAUUUAUUAAAACAAGAUUAAAAUACAUUAACCAUAAGACUAUUAGUGGAAAAUUCUCAAUUUCAAACAUAAUAUCAAUCCAAUUUCCUGUUGGCUCACCUCGUUAACACACGUUCUAGAAAAUGUUGCAUAUGUUAUAAAACAUGCUUUCUGGAUAAUUUUAUUAGCGGCUUGACGCAACAUUAUCUAAAAAGUGAUAAAAAAAACUCAUGUCCAUCAAGUUGUACCUGGUCAAUAAAGUCACGUUAUGAGAUGUAUAUGUGGACCAUCAGAUUGUAUGUGGAUGCACAGCCUGAGGACAACACACAUACACACACAUACACAACCUCAUCAAGUUAAUGAGUCUGAUCGCCUUGAGCAACGAAGACCCAUAAAGCAAAAUAACAUCAUUUUUU